CCUACGGGUGGCAGCAGUGAGGAAUAUUGGUCAAUGGACGAGAGUCUGAAACAGCCAAGUAGCGUGAAGGAUGACUGCCCUAUGGGUUGUAAACUUCUUUUAUAAAGGAAUAAAAUGAGGCACGUGUGGGAUUUUGUAUGUACCAUAUGAAUAAGGAUCGGCUAACUCCGUGCCAGCAGCCGCGGUAAUACGGAGGAUCCGAGCGUUAUCCGGAUUUAUUGGGUUUAAAGGGAGCGUAGGUGGGUUGUUAAGUCAGUUGUGAAAGUUUGCGGCUCAACCGUAAAAUUGCAUUUGAUACUGGCAGCCUUGAGUACCGUUGCGGUCGGCGGCAUUCGUGGUGUAGCGGU
This 347-nucleotide ribosomal RNA is filed under the name uncultured bacterium. RNAcentral describes it as "partial 16S ribosomal RNA". It matches the Rfam family "Bacterial small subunit ribosomal RNA", at positions 338 to 682 of the family's 1533-position model. The record is from RNAcentral.